GAGGGGGUGACCUAAACCAGCAAGAACUGCUAAUUCCUGCAUCCGAGCUUUAAACCUCGGCCCCCUUA
This 68-nucleotide transfer RNA is filed under the name Perdix perdix (grey partridge). Its description in RNAcentral is "tRNA-Ser". Lineage: Eukaryota; Metazoa; Chordata; Aves; Galliformes; Phasianidae. The record is from RNAcentral.